This is a long non-coding RNA of Amphimedon queenslandica, 589 nucleotides long. RefSeq lists it as uncharacterized. The record is from RefSeq and is a predicted model, not a curated record. NCBI's taxonomy places the organism in Eukaryota, Metazoa, Porifera, Demospongiae, Haplosclerida, Niphatidae. The transcript has 6 exons.
UAUAAUAAAAAGAGCGGGUUAGAUGUUAAUAUGAUUGACAGUACAAUGAGACAUGCAGCUGUAGUGGAAAUGAGUGUCACUUUUCACUGGAAGGUAUUUUUAAACCAAGUUCAUGUCUUGAGGUGUGAUGAUGGUGAAUCACAUAAGUGUUUUUCAAAAGAUGAUUUAGAGAUAUGAGAAUUGGAAUGCUCUCACCCAAUAUUAUUACACUAGUGAUGGAAGAACAGGACAAUGGACUCACGAAUGGGCACAACCACCACCAUCUGCUGCUAAACAACUACGUAUAUUUCUUGUAAGUGGUGACAAAGACCUUAUAAAGGAAGUACAAGAAGUACUACGAGAAUUAAUAAGUGAUGAACAACUUAUUCCAGGGGAUAUCUAUGCUGAUGAAGAGAAUUACAUUUUGAUGCCACAAGUCUGACCACUUAAAAAAGAAGCAACAGAACUCAAAGAAGAAGUAGCAAGUGCAUUAGCAACAGUUUAAAAAUUUAGAUCUACAUAUGAUUAAUAGUCUACACUGUAGUUAUUGUAGUUAAUAUAUACGUACACGUAAUGCUAAAGCUGACAGUAGUAUAGUUUGUACUAUCAU